This 253-nucleotide ribosomal RNA is filed under the name uncultured bacterium. RNAcentral's name for it is "partial 16S ribosomal RNA". It matches the Rfam family "Bacterial small subunit ribosomal RNA", at positions 524 to 776 of the family's 1533-position model. The record is from RNAcentral.
GACGUAGGGGGCCAGCGUUGUUCGGAAUUACUGGGUGUAAAGGGUUCGUAGGCGGUGUGGCAAGUCGGGAGUGAAAUCUCUGGGCUCAACCCAGAGUCUGCUUCCGAAACUGCUGUGCUUGAGUGUGGGAGAGGCGCGUGGAAUUGCAGGUGUAGCGGUGAAAUGCGUAGAUAUCUGCAGGAACACCCGUGGCGAAAGCGGCGCGCUGGACGAUGACUGACGCUGAGACGCGAAAGCGUGGGGAGCAAACAGG